GUUGAUAAGGUUAAGUGAAUAAGGGCGCACGGUGGAUGCCUUGGCACUAGGAGCCGAUGAAGGACGGGACUAACACCGAUAUGCUUUGGGGAGCUGUACGUAAGCUAUGAUCCAGAGAUUUCCGAAUGGGGGAACCCAACAUCUUUAAUAGGAUGUUACGAUUGUGUGAAUACAUAGCACAUUCGAGGUAGACGCAGAGAACUGAAACAUCUAAGUACCUGCAGGAAGAGAAAGAAAAUUCGAUUCCCUGAGUAGCGGCGAGCGAAACGGGAAAAGCCCAAACCAGCAAGCUUGCUUGUUGGGGUUGUAGGACUCC
This 316-nucleotide ribosomal RNA is filed under the name Enterococcus faecium. Its description in RNAcentral is "bacterial LSU rRNA". It matches the Rfam family "Bacterial large subunit ribosomal RNA", at positions 1 to 309 of the family's 2925-position model. The record is from RNAcentral. Lineage: Bacteria; Bacillati; Bacillota; Bacilli; Lactobacillales; Enterococcaceae.